This 497-nucleotide ribosomal RNA is filed under the name uncultured bacterium. Its description in RNAcentral is "partial 16S ribosomal RNA". It matches the Rfam family "Bacterial small subunit ribosomal RNA", at positions 28 to 507 of the family's 1533-position model. The record is from RNAcentral.
GAUGAACGCUGGCGGCGUGCCUAAUACAUGCAAGUCGAGCGAACGGACGAGAAGCUUGCUUCUCUGAUGUUAGCGGCGGACGGGUGAGUAACACGUGGAUAACCUACCUAUAAGACUGGGAUAACUUCGGGAAACCGGAGCUAAUACCGGAUAAUAUUUUGAACCGCAUGGUUCAAAAGUGAAAGACGGUCUUGCAGUCACUUAUAGAUGGAUCUGCGCUGCAUUAGCUAGUUGGUAAGGUAACGGCUUACCAAGGCAACGAUGCAUAGCCGACCUGAGAGGGUGAUCGGCCACACUGGAACUGAGACACGGUCCAGACUCCUACGGGAGGCAGCAGUAGGGAAUCUUCCGCAAUGGGCGAAAGCCUGACGGAGCAACGCCGCGUGAGUGAUGAGGGUCUUCGGAUCGUAAAACUCUGUUAUUAGGGAAGAACAUAUGUGUAAGUAACUGUGCACGUCUUGACGGUACCUAAUCAGAAAGCCACGGCUAACUACGUG